UUCUUUGAAACAACGCUGAAAAUACAAGAUUAAAAAGUGUUCCAUGCAUUUCAUAAAAUACGGAGAAAGACACUUCAUAAACAAAACAGAAUAAGCAAGCCAAACACCCUCUGAAAAUCCCAGGAGCUCCACUCUCCAGAUUGGACCAUAUUAAUACAAAAAGCAUAUCCAGGAGAAAGAGCAGCCUGAGGAAGUGGUAGGUUAUCUAUCAAUAACUGGGAUAAGUACAUGUCUUGGUCAUCAACCCACAAGAGUUUUGCCAUGACCUUUCUUACUACAAAACCAAACUGAUUCAACUUGCUUUCCUUGCUGCCAGUUCUGGGCAUUGUCUUUGGCUGGGAAACCAGGAUAGCAUAGCAGAAUCCACAUUAAGUUGCUGUCCAGAGAGGUACUAGGGCCCAAAAUGUAGGCAGGUAUGAAAAGGUAUCAGGGCACAGUAGGAGUGAGGGAAUGGCAGCUGUUCUCCUGCUGGCAGCGGGCUGCAGGGACAUGCCCUGUCUUCCUAGGAGCACAGCGGGUGGAAAAUGCACCUGCUGGAAGAAGUAUGGGUAGAAGCAGUGCCCUAGGGUGACUUUAAAACACUUGUAGCUCCAGUUUUCUGUUCUGUUUAUGCUGGAUAUUAAGUUCUGCACCUUUAAGACCCGUUCUGAGAGCAAAGGGCAGGAGAAGCAGUGCAGAGUUUGUUUGCAGAAACUGCACUUGCUCCCCUGCAUUGUCUCUCAAGGACUGUGUUGUCUGCAGCGUGGACAGCAGGACACAGCUCUCCUUUGCCUUUAGUCAGCUUUUUUAGCUAGCUGAGGCAGAGAAGUUCCCCAGACUGUGGUGUUUCUUUUUCUUGGAACUCAUUAGCCCUGCUCUGGACUGAAAACCCAGAAAAACACUGGGAGUUCAUGCCUGUAGCCCACUGAGGCCCGGGAUGCAGCAUUUUCCAGUGCAGGAGGAGAAGACACUGAGCGAGCCGAGCCACACUCCACGAAAAGGACUCUGAAUUUGCCAUCUCGGUAGAACAGUGACAGGUUUUAUUGUUCCAUACAUUCAUUUUUUAUGCUUGUGAAUACUCUGCUUACUAAAUAAACAGACUUUUUCCACUUUUCUCCCAGGAAAUCUUUUCUCCGAGGAAAUCAGCUGGGGGAGGGCCUGCUCUUAUCUGCUUUCAGGAGGGACCUGUUUGGAAGUUUCCUCUCAAAUUUGCCCUAAACCAGGACAAAUACAUUUUUCAUCGCCCAGCACAUGGCUCAAGAAAGUGGAAGAAACCUGUCCUGACUGCAUUUAGGUUGUACUUAUUCUGUAUUGGGAUAAAGCAGUAUCAGUACCCAUGUUUCUUGAAUUCAUGAUGUCUCUUUGGGUGGAGGCCUUCAUGUGUUUCUGGUCCCUAGGCUUUUUUGAGAUUUUAAUACCUUUCUGGUCCCUAGGCUGUUCAGAGGUUUGAAUACCUUUCUGGUCCCUAGGGUUGUUUUCUUAUCCAGAGAUUGCUCCAGUAUUGUCCUUAACAGGUUUUUACAGUAGAGGAGCAUGGAUUCAGGUUGCUAUUGUGCUGGGCUCAGUGAUAAUGAUUUACAGGGAAUUUACAAAGGUACUGGAGUCUGUUCCAGACACGUAUGGUUUAUGGUUUCUUCGUCCUACCCUGUAUCCUCGUUCCAGUAGCGUUUUUGGGGGAUUUAGUAGUAAUUGCACUGGUUUGUUAAAGGAGGAGCAGGGGAUGAGGCUUUUCAGCCUUUCCUUUCUUUCUUCCCCUUUGAAUCUGUUACGACACUUUUGGAGACUGUUCAGUUUGCCCUGAAUGUUAAAGGGACCCCUUUCCUGGUCUUUAAUCUGGUAAGAUUUCUCUGCGUGGAAAAUCCUGAGUGGGGUGGAGAAUGGGAGGAAUGGGCCAAACCCUAAAGGAAUUUUCUGACCCCCAACCAACUGUGAAUUUUCAUGUAAACAAAAUCAGAAUCUAGACAAAGUGGGGAAAUAUCUGGAAAAGAAGCAAUUAUUGAUUAUUCUAAUGAUAACACUUAACAACACUUAACAGGGAGAUUCCAAGUGGGCGCGGAUAAGGUUCAGGCCAAUGGGAUUUCAGACACAGGAUACUUCAGGAGAGGAUUACAGGCUUGGAAUAAACCAUACAGUUGCCUGGGAUGAGACAGAGCAUACCAUUUAACUAAACACCACGAAGGGGGAAGAGCAACAAGUACCAACGGCCAUUUUGACAGUGCACCGCCAACAGUACAGAACAAUUCUAGAUGCUGUGAUCCCCAUUCACAAAAUGAUCCAUGAGCUGGAGAGCCAAGGGGUGGUCAGCAAAACCCACUCACCCUUUAACAGCCCCAUUUGGCCUGUGCGUAAAUCUGAAGGAGAAUGGAGACUGACAGUGGACUACCGUGCAUUGAAUGAAGUGACUCCACCACUGAGCGCUGCUGUGCCAGACAUGUUAGAGCUCCAGGACAAGCUUGAGUCCAAGGCAGCAAAGUGGUACGCCACUGUUGAUAUUGCCAAUGCAUUUUUCUCCAUUCCUCUGGCAGCAGAAUGCAGGCCCCAGUUUGCUUUCACAUGGAGGGGCGCGCAGUACACCUGGAACCGACUGCCCCAGGGGUGAAAACACAGCCCCACCAUCUGCCAGGCUGCACUGGAAAAGGCUGAAGCUCCAGAACAUCUGCAGUACAUCGAUGGCAUCAUUGUGUGGGGGAACACAGCAGCAGACACAUUUGAGAAAGGAGAGAAAAUCACCCAGAUUCUCCUGGAAGCUGGUUUUGCCAUCAAGAAGAGCAAAGUUAAGUGACCUGCCCGAGAGAUCCAGCUCCUGGGAGUGAAGUGGCAAGAUGGACGGCGUCAGAUUCCUACAGAUGUCAUCAACAAGAUCACAGCUAUGUCCCCACCAACCAACAAGAAGGAAACACAACCUUUCCCAGACACCAUAGGAUUUUGGAGAAUGCACAUUCCUGAGUACAGUCAAAUAGUGAACCCUCUUUACCUGGUCACCUGCAAGAAGAACACUUUCCACUGGGGCCCUGAGCAGCAAAAAGCUUUGCCCAGAUCAAGCAGAAAUCACUCAUGCAGUACCCUUGGCCCAGUCAGGACGGGACCAGAUGUGAAGAACGUGCUCUACUCUGCAGCUGGGAACCAUGGUCUGUCCUGGAGCCUUUGGCAGAAGGUGCCUGGUGAGGGUCAAGGCCGACCAUUAGGAUUUUGGAGUUGAAGGGGCUGGAGUUGAAGUUACAGAGGGUCUGAGGCCAACUACACCCCCACAGAGAAGGAAAUUUUAGCAGCCUAUGAAGGAGCUCAUGCUGCCUCAGAAGUAAAAAAGACUGAACAACUCCUCCUGGCACCUCAACUACCAGUGCUGGGGUGGAUGUACAAAGUGAAGGUUCCCUCUACCCACCAUGUCACAUGGAGCAAGCCCUCAUCACACAGGGCGCCUGUAUUGGUAAACUGAACCACCCUGGGAUUUUGGAAAUAAUUACAAAUUGGCCUGAAGGUGGAAAAUUUGGUCUCAUGGAUGAAGAGGAACAAGAGCAAGUGACACAUGCUGAAGAAGCUCCACCAUACAACCAACAGCCAGCAGAAGAAACAUGUUACACUCUUUUUACUGAUGGUUCUUGUCACAUCGUAGGGAUGACCCGGAAGUGGAAAGCAGCUGCAUGGAGCCCCACAGGACAGGUCACAGAGGCUAUUGAAGGUGGAUCAAGCCAGCUUGCUGAACUCAAAGCCGUUCAACUGGCUCUGGACAUUGCUGAAAGAGAGAAGUGGCCAAAGCUCUACCUCUACACUGAUUCAUGGAUGGUAGCCAAUGCUCUGUGGGGAUGGCUGGAGAGGAGGAAAAAAGCCAAUUGGCAGCAUAGGGGAAAAACCAAUUUGGGCUGCUGAAGAGUGGAAAGACAUUACAACCAGGGUAGAGGAACUAUCUGUGAAAGUCUGCCACGUAGAUGCCCAUAUCCCCAAGAGUAGAGCUAAUGAGGAGUACCAAAAAAACAAGCAAGUAAAUCAGGCUGCAAAUAUAGAGGUCUCAGAGAUAGAUUUAGUGGGCAACACAAGGGAGAGUUGUUGCUAGCUCGAUGGGCCUGUGAUGCCUCAGGCCAGCAGGGUAGAGAUGCCACCUGUAAGUGGGCAUGAGACUGAGGGUGGAUUUAACCAUGGACAGUAUUUCUCAGGCUAUCCAUGAUUCUGAGAGGUGUGCUGCGGUCAAGCAAGCCAAGCAGGUGAAGCCCUUAUGGUAUUGUGCAUGGGAGUCCAAACAUAAGUAUGGGGAGACCUGAGGCCCCCCUGACAAUGGGACUAAUUUCAAGAACAGCCCUAUCAACACCUGGGCUAGGGAACAUGGCAUUGAGAGGGUGUACUAUAUUCCCUACCAUGCACUAGCUGCAGGCAAAGUGGAAAGUUAUAAAGGAAUGUUGAAAACCACCUUGCAAGCAUUGGGUGGGGGAUCUUUCAAAACCUGGGAGUAGCAUUUAGCAAAGGCCACCUGGUUGGUUAACAGCCGAGGCUCAACCAACCAAGCAGGCCCUGCCCAAUCUGAGUCCCUGCAUACAGGAGAUGGAGACAAAGUCCCAGUGGUGCAUGUCAGAGGUUUGUU
This 4552-nucleotide long non-coding RNA is filed under the name Taeniopygia guttata (zebra finch). RNAcentral describes it as "lncRNA (ENSTGUG00000024000.1)". Lineage: Eukaryota; Metazoa; Chordata; Aves; Passeriformes; Estrildidae. The record is from RNAcentral.